RNAcentral lists this ribosomal RNA (446 nucleotides) under Mycolicibacterium neoaurum. Its description in RNAcentral is "bacterial SSU rRNA". It matches the Rfam family "Bacterial small subunit ribosomal RNA", at positions 46 to 510 of the family's 1533-position model. Lineage: Bacteria; Bacillati; Actinomycetota; Actinomycetes; Mycobacteriales; Mycobacteriaceae. The record is from RNAcentral.
GCUUACACAUGCAAGUCGAACGGAAAGGCCCUUCGGGGUACUCGAGUGGCGAACGGGUGAGUAACACGUGGGUGAUCUGCCCUGCACUUUGGGAUAAGCCUGGGAAACUGGGUCUAAUACCGAAUAUGAUCAUCGGCUUCAUGGUCGGUGGUGGAAAGCUUUUGCGGUGUGGGAUGGGCCCGCGGCCUAUCAGCUUGUUGGUGGGGUAAUGGCCUACCAAGGCGACGACGGGUAGCCGGCCUGAGAGGGUGACCGGCCACACUGGGACUGAGAUACGGCCCAGACUCCUACGGGAGGCAGCAGUGGGGAAUAUUGCACAAUGGGCGCAAGCCUGAUGCAGCGACGCCGCGUGAGGGAUGACGGCCUUCGGGUUGUAAACCUCUUUCAGCACAGACGAAGCGCAAGUGACGGUAUGUGCAGAAGAAGGACCGGCCAACUACGUGCCA